ACUCCUGCGGGAGGCAGCAGUGGGGAAUAUUGCACAAUGGGCGCAAGCCUGAUGCAGCCAUGCCGCGUGUAUGAAGAAGGCCUUCGGGUUGUAAAGUACUUUCAGCGGGGAGGAAGGCAAUACGGUUAAUAACCGUGUUGAUUGACGUUACCCGCAGAAGAAGCACCGGCUAACUCCGUGCCAGCAGCCGCGGUAAUACGGAGGGUGCAAGCGUUAAUCGGAAUUACUGGGCGUAAAGCGCACGCAGGCGGUCUGUCAAGUCGGAUGUGAAAUCCCCGGGCUCAACCUGGGAACUGCAUUCGAAACUGGCAGGCUUGAGUCUUGUAGAGGGGGGUAGAAUUCCAGGUGUAGCGGUGAAAUGCGUAGAGAUCUGGAGGAAUACCGGUGGCGAAGGCGGCCCCCUGGACAAAGACUGACGCUCAGGUGCGAAAGCGUGGGGAGCAAACAGGAUUAGAAACCCCUGUAGUCCCA
Molecule: ribosomal RNA, 471 nt
Filed under: uncultured organism
Description: partial 16S ribosomal RNA
Rfam family: Bacterial small subunit ribosomal RNA
Source: RNAcentral